GAUGAACGCUGGCGGCGUGCUUAACACAUGCAAGUCGAACGAAGCAUUUGCGACAGAUUUUUUCGGAAUGAAGUUGCUUAUGACUGAGUGGCGGACGGGUGAGUAACGCGUGGGUAACCUGCCUUGUACUGGGGGAUAGCAGCUGGAAACGGCUGGUAAUACCGCAUAAGCGCACAAUGUUGCAUGACAUGGUGUGAAAAACUCCGGUGGUAUAAGAUGGACCCGCGUCUGAUUAGCUAGUUGGUGAGAUAACAGCCCACCAAGGCGACGAUCAGUAGCCGACCUGAGAGGGUGACCGGCCACAUUGGGACUGAGACACGGCCCAGACUCCUACGGGAGGCAGCAGUGGGGAAUAUUGCACAAUGGAGGAAACUCUGAUGCAGCGACGCCGCGUGAGUGAAGAAGUAAUGCGUUAUGUAAAGCUCUAUCAGCAGGGAAGAUAGUGACGGUACCUGACUAAGAAGCUCCGGCUAAAUACGUG
Molecule: ribosomal RNA, 481 nt
Filed under: uncultured bacterium
Lineage: Bacteria
Description: partial 16S ribosomal RNA
Rfam family: Bacterial small subunit ribosomal RNA
Source: RNAcentral